UACGUAGGUGGCAAGCGUUAUCCGGAAUUAUUGGGCGUAAAGCGCUCGCAGGCGGUUUCUUAAGUCUGAUGUGAAAGCCCACGGCUCAACCGUGGAGGGUCAUUGGAAACUGGGAGACUUGAGUGCAGAAGAGGAGAGUGGAAUUCCACGUGUAGCGGUGAAAUGCGUAGAGAUGUGGAGGAACACCAGUGGCGAAGGCGACUCUCUGGUCUGUAACUGACGCUGAGGAGCGAAAGCGUGGGAGC
This 245-nucleotide ribosomal RNA is filed under the name uncultured bacterium. Its description in RNAcentral is "partial 16S ribosomal RNA". It matches the Rfam family "Bacterial small subunit ribosomal RNA", at positions 524 to 769 of the family's 1533-position model. The record is from RNAcentral.